RNAcentral lists this small RNA (191 nucleotides) under Podarcis lilfordi (Lilford's wall lizard). Lineage: Eukaryota; Metazoa; Chordata; Lepidosauria; Squamata; Lacertidae. The record is from RNAcentral.
UUCCUGAUGUUUAGUCAGAAUCUCAUUUCUUGCAACUUGAAGCCAUUGGUUCAAGUCCUACCCUCAAGAGCAGCAGAAAACAAGUAUGUUCCCUCUUCCACGUGACAGUCCUCAAGAUAUUUGAAGGUGGCUAUCAUAUCUCCUCUCCGUCUGCUCUUUUCCAGGCUAAACAUACCCAGCUCCUUCAAGCA